RNAcentral lists this long non-coding RNA (565 nucleotides) under Ursus maritimus (polar bear). Its description in RNAcentral is "lncRNA (ENSUMAG00000006574.1)". Lineage: Eukaryota; Metazoa; Chordata; Mammalia; Carnivora; Ursidae. The record is from RNAcentral.
GCAAAAGUAAAGUACAUAGCUUCUUAUUAUUCUACCCUUUGGAGCAGCUUUUCAGAUGUCAGUAAUCUGACCAAGAAAAGUUAAUGUGAGAUCAAGAACGAAGGAGGGCAAAAACUGCACAAAAGAAACAAACCACUGCUCUUGAAAUAUAAUACCAGUGGAAAAAAACAAACAAACAAAAAACAAACAAAACCUCAAGACAAAAACUGGCCUAACAAUGCAAACUAGAACUUAAAUAAGAUCUUACCACACCUCUGCAGCCACCCAUAUCCAGUGUGUAUCCUGGAAAGACUUAUGACUAACCAAAGAGAGGAGAGACCAUGAAAAGAGUCAGUCAUGGAUUUUUAAUUUCAUUCUACUUCUUUGAAAUAAAGAAAGUUGAAAAGAGGGCGCUUCUUUUUCUGCCAAAGAUCUGGAAACACUUUGUCCCUGGAUGGACUUUCAGCCAAAUGAGGAUCUCCAUAGGAAUGGAAGAAAUCACACGCUCUGCUCCAGGAUCCUACAUUUGCCAGUCUUCAUGAAAAGUGAAAAUGGGCUGAUUCUGAUGGCAGCGAUCUUUGACUAC